This 1274-nucleotide long non-coding RNA is filed under the name Ananas comosus (pineapple). RNAcentral's name for it is "long non-coding RNA (ACOM_LNC008645)". The record is from RNAcentral. Lineage: Eukaryota; Viridiplantae; Streptophyta; Magnoliopsida; Poales; Bromeliaceae.
UUUUCUGAUUCUUUUUAAAAAAAUAAAUGCCUAAUUUUUCAUAAAAUUCAAAAAGAAGCUUUCUGUUGGGCCAAUAAGGCGCGGCCAGGUGGUACACCGGUACUCCACCCAACUGUUUCUUAAGAGUAGGAAUUUUUAUGUACAUCAGAAGUAUCGGAAGAAUCACCGUAUAUAACUGAAGGAAGUUACAGUAACCGCAAGCGGUUACAAGCGGUUUCGAUUGGCUGGAAGUGGCCUCGAAAAAUAGGAAGAGUGGCAGAUCAUGGGUGAAAAAUAACUGAUCAACAUAGGCGCGUUAUAAAUAGGCAAAUAACGCCCUGAAAAGAGGUCUUUUCCCUAAAAACAGAAGACCACCUUUAUUUUCUCUACAAUUUCCUCGCAUUUCCUAGGAGUAGUCUACUUGUAAUUCUUUAUUUUUCCACACUUACAGUUUAUCCCUAGGAGUAGUUUUUAAUUUAGAUCAACCGAGUCUGUAUGCCCUUAGGCACACUCGACCUUUGUACUGUUUUCACAAGUCAUCUUCAAUAUAUAUAAAGGCAUUCGGCAUUUUCAGCCGAUCAGUCGCUGUGUAUUCCAUCUAUUCGGCUCUUCGGUAGACCCUAGUCUUUGUGCAGUCCAUACAUUUGGCUCAUCCAGUCGAACCGAUUUUAUAGUGAAGGUUUUCGAAUUCGGCUAAUCCGAUCCCUCAUCAGCCGAAUCGCUUGAUCCAGUCGAAGGGCGCAAACUUUGUGGGUCAUUAACUGUAGCCGUUCCGCAUUCCUACACUCUUUUCAAGGGAGAUCUUUGACCAGGCCAAGGAUCAGGACGUUCCACACCUAACACUUUCCAAAUAAGCUUUGGAACCAAACAUGAAAGAACUGAAAAAAUAUUUUUUUUCAUAGAAAACCUUUUUUUCUUAGAUUUUUUUUCCAUACUUUUUGGAAGAACCAAAUAGCUCUUUAAAUAAAAACGUAUAAAAUUUAUCUAAACUAUAAAUUAUUUUGAUUUGACUAUCUAAUCUUACAAAAUUUUAAGUUUAUUAUCCAACCUAUUAAUUUGUUUAAUUUGAAUCAAUCAAUGAUACUUGAACUUUAAAAUUUAAGCUAAUUAUUUAUUUUAAUAAUUUUAUAAUCACGAGAAUUGUAUAAAAUAUAUUAAGUAAAUCUGUAAAGAUAACGGACACAUUCAAAUUUUAUAAUCAAAGUAUAGUUGACUGACUCAAAUCAAACAAAUUAAAAAAUUAAGUAAUAAAAUCAAAAUUUUAAAAUGAUAAAUUGCGAAAUCAAAAUAGGCCA